AACCGCGGUUAAGUAUCCCCGCCCUGUGUAGUACGAUCGCAAAGAUUAAAACAUAAAGGGAAUUGACGGGGGCCCCGCACAAGGCGGUGGAUCAUGUUCUUUAAUUCGAGGUUAAACCGAUAAACCUUACCAGGGCUUGACAUCUAGGGAAGGCUUCCGAAAGGAAACUGUGCUUUUAGAACCCUAUGACAGGUGAUGCAUGGCCGUCGUCAGCUCGUGUCCGUGAGAUGUUUGGUUAAGUCCAUCAACGAGCGCAACCCUUGUUAGUAGUUGUAUUUUUCUACUAAGACUGCUUCGGUAACGGAGAGGAAGGAGGGGAUGAUGUCAGGUCAGUAUUUCCCUUACGUCCUGGGCUAGAAACGUGAUACAAUGGCAAGUACAAUGCGCAGCGAAGCCGUGAGGUGAAGCUAAUCGCACCAAAGCUUGUCCCAGUUCGGAUUGGAGGCUGAAACUCGCCUCCAUGAAGUCGGAAUCGCUAGUAAUCGCAGAUCAGCAUGUUGCGGUGAAUACGUUCCCGGGUCUUGUACACACCGCCCGUCAAACCAUGAGAGUCACCAACACCCGAAGUCCGUUUCGGCGGCCUAAGGUGGGGGAGAUGAUUGGGGUUAAGUCGUAACAAGGUAACCGUA
RNAcentral lists this ribosomal RNA (629 nucleotides) under uncultured bacterium. RNAcentral describes it as "bacterial SSU rRNA". It matches the Rfam family "Bacterial small subunit ribosomal RNA", at positions 853 to 1504 of the family's 1533-position model. The record is from RNAcentral.